This is a long non-coding RNA of Homo sapiens (human), 625 nucleotides long. RefSeq lists it as uncharacterized. The record is from RefSeq and is a predicted model, not a curated record. NCBI's taxonomy places the organism in Eukaryota, Metazoa, Chordata, Mammalia, Primates, Hominidae. The transcript has 2 exons.
ACUAGGGCCAAGCGGCUCCGGUAGGCGCGCGGCAGCAGAGGUGGUCCGCCGCCGGCAGCCGGGGCUUUGGUGGCCGCUGAAGGUUUGCGGCAGGAGGCCUUUGUGAAGUCAGUCGGCUCCAGGUCGCCCUCCGGAUGCGGUCCCCACACCGCCUGCGUCACCUGGGUUGAGGGGCUCAUUUGAAAUACAGACUUCGCUACCCACCCCAGCCUGCUGAAUCGGAAAUGCAGCGGUGAGCCAUAGGUGAUUAUUAUGCACCCUUAAAUUUAAGAAUUAGUCAUUCGGAGGUUUCUCUCAAUGGCGAACUUGAAAAUAAGUUCAGGAAACCAGACAAUUGGAGCGGACCGACAGCCCUGAUUCCAAUGGGUAGCUGUCAAUGGCUUUGGAAGAAAAUCCCAGAGAUAACAGAACAUUCUUGCUGCAUUAUGGAAUUAAAUGAUCUUCUUGGCACAGAGGACAAUGCUAUGGGAUGAAUGAGUUGGGGAAAUGAAUGCCUAUGAUGCUGAUUUUAAAAAUUAUUCAAAAGAGCUGGAUUCUAAAAGUUGAAUGAAUACUUUAUAUAACUUAUAUUUUCCUUUUUAUACUUGCACAAGAGUAAAAUAGAAUAAAAAUCAUUUCUAAAUAA